Podarcis lilfordi (Lilford's wall lizard) is the source of this 74-nucleotide non-coding RNA. The record is from the annotation of a GenBank genome assembly. Lineage: Eukaryota; Metazoa; Chordata; Lepidosauria; Squamata; Lacertidae.
ACCUCUGAUAGCUCAGUCGGCAGAGCAGGAGACUCUAAAUCUCAGGGCCAAGGGUUCGAGCCUCAUGUUGGGCA